RNAcentral lists this long non-coding RNA (1136 nucleotides) under Vulpes vulpes (red fox). Its description in RNAcentral is "lncRNA (ENSVVUG00000004456.1)". The record is from RNAcentral. Lineage: Eukaryota; Metazoa; Chordata; Mammalia; Carnivora; Canidae.
GGGUUGCCCUAGAAACAGCUUCACAAAGUUCUCCUCGAAGUUCUCAAAUAGAUACCAUUUGAUCUGUUCUCUCCCUCCCUUUCCUGAUCCGACACCGCCAUCCUCUCAACACACGUGCACUGGACAAUAUGGUCUACUAGAGGCAGAGACUGUACUGAAGGUGAAAAGAAGCAAGGUGUAACCUUUUGAUGAUUUCCUUCAAAGCUUGCUUUGGGUGAUCAUUGACAACAAGCACCUAGGAAAUGAUCAGCUGACAAGUUGUUAAGCGAAGCACAUAUUCCAAAAUCGCAUAAUGUCCUCAUCAGGGUCUAGAGAAAGAUGUAAAAUGACUAAUGACCUGAGCUCUGAUAUGACAUGUAUCUUCUAAGGGGAAAAUCCCCCACAACACACUUGAGGGAUGGGAAGGAAGGAAACCAGAUUUGUGACAGCGUUAAUAGAAAACCUAAACACUUCCGAAAUUGGGUGAAUAAAUACGCAGCCUCGACGGUUUCUGCAGAGCCCCAGUCUCAUUUCAACCCCGUCCUACAUAUCACCGCUGAAUCCAGGCCUUCUGGUACCUCCUGUAUCGUCCCUGAACCUUCCAGCCCCACCCUAAACUCUCUCUUCCUUUUCAUUUGGAUUUCUCUAGCUCUCUAACCGUGUCACCCAGUCACCCAGACUCUGAAGCUCAGGUUAUUGGCUGCCUGGCCCUCCAGACCUUCUGGCCUGUUCAUCAGACUGACCUUCCCCUCAACCCCCUUCCUGUCUGAUUUGUCCUCCCUGACGACCUCUAGACGGCACCUACUUCGGUGGCAGGAUAUGGUUACAGACUGUUGGAUUCCACUCACUGCCCACCUCUUGGCCAUUACAUGGUGUCCACCCAAGUUCUACCUGUCUUCCAAAGUUUUCCUAAAUGAUCCCAGCUAGGGAAAGACCCUUUCCCAGUAGCCUGCCUUGGACUGAGUCAUCACAUCCUAGUUUAUAUACUCUGGUGUCACCUUCCCUUCAGAUUAUAUGCCUUGGAAAGUAGGGACUGUGUCUGGUACAAUUUCGUUCCACUUGGAUUAAAUAGCAUAGUGUCUUGCUCUCAGCAGCCAUGUGAUAAUAACUGUGUUUUGGAAAAUAAACUCUUUUUUUUUUUUUUAGAAUAAACUCUU